GGAGGUGUGUGGGCGCCUGGUGGCCCUCCUGAUCUUCAAAAUCAGUGUGGCCGGGUAUCUCGGCCAGGCGGGUUCGAUUCCCGUCCGCCUCCG
This 93-nucleotide transfer RNA is filed under the name Candidatus Aeolococcus gillhamiae. RNAcentral's name for it is "tRNA-Sec". It matches the Rfam family "Selenocysteine transfer RNA". The record is from RNAcentral. Lineage: Bacteria; Bacillati; Candidatus Dormiibacterota; Candidatus Dormibacteria; Candidatus Aeolococcales; Candidatus Aeolococcaceae.